Molecule: long non-coding RNA, 3707 nt
Organism: Triticum aestivum (bread wheat)
Lineage: Eukaryota; Viridiplantae; Streptophyta; Magnoliopsida; Poales; Poaceae
Exons: 2
Source: RefSeq, a predicted model, not a curated record
ACGCACGCCCUCCAUCCGCCUCCCCUCCCUCUGUACUUCUUCUUGUUCUUCUAGAUGACCCCUGCGGUUGGGUUGGUUAUAGAGAGAUAAAUAUACCUCUACGCAGUUCCUGAGGGCAAAGUUGAGACCCCAUCCAUGAACUAAAUCAUUCUGCAUUCAGGAGAGGCACCAAUGAGUAAAGGCAGAGCAAGUCCAUAUAUAACGGCAGGCACUGGCCGGUAACAUAUACUGACCUGAAUCAUAUGCCAUACGCAUCGCCAUGCCACCCUUGCGAAGACUGGAGCCAUUAUUUCAACAGACCUGUUUUACAGCAAAACAUAAAUCUAAGUAAUUAGCAACAGAGAAGCGUAAGUUAGAUAUCUCUGUAAUAGUAUAGAUGUGGAUAGAACUCAGCAAAGAGGAUAGUAAGAACAUACGCAACACAAGGUGGAAGAUGAGGGUCAGCACACCAGCCUGGUCUUUCCUCUGUCUCCCUGCAACAACACAAGUUGCCAGCUCAAGUUACUACAUCAGAACAAAGAAAUCUAUUUAUUUGCUUUCUUUCAUAUUGUAACUGCACCACUCACUUGUGGACCUCUCGGUCACCUCUUCUUUUGGUCAUCUGCCAAGUAAGUCCUCGGUCAGGUUCUAAGCCAGGCUAGGAGAUAAUUAGACCAUCUUUGUUAACAAAGUUUGAUGUGCCUGUAAUCCAACACCAAUAUGUAUACGUCAGUCCUCAUAUCAAGAAAAAAUUGUCUGGAUAACUGAACAGUGGAAGCAUACUCCUGUGCGUUGAAAUGAUCCACCCCAAGGUCUUCAUCCCAGAUGAAUAUGUACUCAUAAGCUGCCACAAUAUCAGGAUGCAAGAAUCUUUUGGCAUACCACCUAGAGGUCCUGCAUAUUUGAGAUCAAAUGUCAGCACACCAAGCACCAGAUGGUAGAAGGGUACAAAAUUUAGGACUUCUGGUUUGAAUUAAUUCAAUACAUAACAUGUGAGCAAUGUCUGUGAGGUACCAAGUUUCUAACUUAAUAACAAUGGAGAUGAACAUGAAGAGCCACAAAGUAUAACACUAAUUUCAAUCUCAACAAUGCAUAACGUUUUGAUCUUAAAGAAAGAACUAGCUUAAAGAUAAGGCACACAUGCUUGUAGAUUUGAAUAUUUGGCAAAGAGAUAGGAAUUCAAGACAUUUCUCAAGAUGUUCAGUUAUAAAAUAGUUCCAGCUACAAUAACGAUCUGAUUACAAAUCCAUGUGUAAUGCCACUAUUUUAUGCUACAUUUGUUAUUCAGGUCCAGUUGCGUAAUUGGUCAAAAGGACAUUUUGAGGUGCUUGUCCAGAUGUGAUUAUUUCUCUUCAGUAACAGGUCAAUCAUAUAUUUCUUUCAUCUAACUUUGUGCUUUGUUAUCUACAAACUAAUAGGUCAUUCUGUCUACAUACUAUCAUGCCCUAAAACUGUGAUAGGUUUGCCCCUAUUUUUGGUUGUGUUGCCAAAUCAUUUCAAAAUAUGUCCUUUUAAUGGAGUUAGAAUAUUUUAACGUUACAAUGGCAACCUAAAAAUAAUGGAAGCUUUCCAGCAUUACCAAAGUUCCACUCCUGUUUCUAUUCAUUUUGGUCGCUCUAGGAAUUUCUAGCCAUUUGUACGUACCUAGUGUUAUUGUUGAAAAUUGAAUUAGUAAAAUAGCUUGUGAUAAAAAAAUCCCUAAAUGUUUUCCCCUUAGGACAGAGUUGUUGUUUUUGAGGAGCAAGGUACACGAUAUAUAUGUAGGGCCUCUUUGGUCAACGUCUCAAUGGAUAAAAGCCAAUGCAUGUUCACUUUACAAAAAAGGAGAGAAAACCUUCAUGUGUUUCAUAUGCUUACUCGUGGUGAUGCCAACCUUUUGCUAUUGCAAACGUUACUGGUUCUCUAAUAUCAAGAUCACCUUCUUUUCUGUUGCAGCAAACAUUACAUGAACUUUCACGAGUUUGUUUACAAUUUCGAACUCCUCCAAUUGAACGGCUCGUCUACUGAAGUACUCUGUUUGUGUACAGUUUUGUAGGAGUUUGGAGUACUCUGAGCACCUACCUGUAGUGUGCCAUCAAAACCACGUGCACUACAGGAGUUUUGCAUGGCAUGAGUAAUCUUCCUCUCCUUCCUCCCUCACAGUCUCUAGCCGCCCUCUCCCUCUAGAUUCAAAUUUAGUUCUUACGUGCAAGAGUUUGCAUCAUGAAUGAAAGCAGAGCUGAUUCUCAUUUCAGUACUAGGUGGGUAGGGAUUAAUCCAUCAAACUGAAUGAUUAUAGUUAGGAAACCUGUCAAUAUGGUUAUAUGUAUUAGUAAUAAGAUUUUAAAUCAAUUCAAACAGGAAAAGCAUGUGAUUUUUUCUAUUUAGUACUCCCUCCAUCCCAAAAUUCUUGUCGUAGCUUUGUCUAGAUACGGAUGUAUCUAAUACUAAAAUGUGACUUGAUACAUUCGUAUUUAGAAAAAUCUAAGACAAGAAUUUUGGGUCGGAGGGAGUAUUUAGUAUUUCUGGAAAACUAUACGCGUUCUUGCUAAUUUCAUACUACUAGAUUACAGUCGUACAUGCUCUUGCUUGUCUACAAAAUUUCAUUCUUGCAUCUAACCCUGAUUAAAGAAAUGCUUGAAUAGCAGGAUGGCAUUGGGUUGUCAUGUUUUACUGUCAUUUGCGUGUAGUACUCUGUUGACUCAAGUGCUUUGCUAUUAUAAUGUUGUCAUUUACGUUUAGUAAUCUGUUGACUCACAUGGCACACUAUGUGACUGCAUGUGGCCAAGAAGGUUUAUGAAUGUCUUAGUAUUUUGUUAAUAACAUACCUCAGAAGCUAGAACAGAUUGGUUUCAUGCAGGUGCCAUUCUACUUGUAGUUUAUUUCCAGGGUGGUUUUGCUAUUUAUAGAUGUAUCAUGUAGGUAGGGUAAAACAUCCUCUUGGUCUCUUUUCUGUGGUCUGUGGUUGUAGCUUAAAAUUGGUGCAUUCAUGCGAAAAAGAUCAAAUUGGUCCCUGUAUAUACAAGUGAACUGUAGAGAAAGAUUCCACAUGGCGUUGGCUUUAGGGAAGUAUCACGCAAAUAAAGGAGAGAGAUUACACAGUGGGAUGAUGUUUCUUGCUAUAUUCUCAACUGAAUUGAGUAUCAUACAAAGAUAUCAUAUUCCCAAACUUGCCUCUGGGAAUAAUAGCAGUCAAGUAGUCAUGCUGGGUUUUCUAUGAUCCAAAUAAGAGCACACUUGCCUUUGUUUUAACAUACAGAUUAAAUGUUGAGAAGUAUAUUAUUCUGAUUGCUUAGUCAAUGUAUCGAUAAUAGUAUGGUGCAUGCCGACUCUUGUUCUCUUAUCGUUUCCUAAGGAUCACUUCUAAGGAUAUAAGGAAAGGCAUUUCCUUCCCAUGCUUAUUGACUGCAUAUCUCCUGGUCCUGUCAUUUGGUAUGUGCUAUCAACAUUGUUAAUCAUUUAACUUUAUUUUUCUUUCCCUUUACAGCCUACUUGAAUGGAUAUGGUUCCUGAGAGGCCAUUUCUUAUGUGCAUCAGGUCCUGAAGGUGGAUGUUGCUUAUUUAGAUAUCUAUGAUUCCAAUUUAUUCAAAAGGUUCAUGUCAUACUGGAUGUUAUUCAUUGAGUAGCUUCAAACAAUAUGGCAUGAACAUAUUUGUUUUCCAUUUGGCCAAUAAUGAAAUGAUCUUUGUGCAUAUAAAAUGGUUAUCGAUACCAUAAUUCUUGGUUUUAAUAAGCUUCUUGCACUAAA